GCCAAGCACCUAAAGAGCAAAAGAAAGGCUAGUUCAGAUGCUUAUUUAAAAUAAAUUAACCAAGGAACAAUUAAAAGCCUUGAAUAAGCAAUUAGCCCAACUAGCAAAGACAUAAAUCCUACCUUGAUCAAAACAGUUAAUUGAAAUUAUUAGCCUUUGGAGGGGAAUUACUCUUUUUGAAACUAGUGAAUGUGUCAUUAGGGUGAUGAAGAGCUACAAGGAAAAGGUCAAUAAGCACUUAUUCAGAAAAAAGAGGGCCAAACUCUUUAUUCAAAGCCACGGUAAUUAAACCAACAAUGUAUUUAGCCAACACGGGCAUCCUUGAACUAUUAUGUUGAAUAGAAUAGGGUACACUUUAAGUUACUGUGGAGCAGAUAGGUUAUCCACCAAACCCAUCCAGGGAAAAGAGGAAAAUGGAAGCACUGUAUGUAAACCAAAGAGUCUGCUAUGGUCACCCAAAUUCAGUCCUUGGAAUGAGCAUGAAUUAGAAAUCUCUAGAUGCUCUCAAAUGUGGUCUAUUUAGACAUCACUGAAAGACAUCCUUCCUUUCAUGUUCAUUUUAGAAUAGAUGUUUAAUAAGAUGUAGUCAUUUUAGUUGUAUUAUUUCAGAUAUUCCAAUAAUUUAGACCAGUAGUCCUCAAACAGAAGCAAAUUCGUUUCCAGAGGACAAUGCCUCCAGACAUUUUUAUUUGUCACUCUGGGGGGAGGUGGGGAGUGCCACAGCAGGGAGUGGUUGCUCCUGGAAUUUAGUAGGUAGAAGUCAAGUACACUACUAAAUAUCCUGCAAUGUACGGGGCAUCCCCACAAUAAAAAAUUAUCUAACCCAAAAUGUCAAUAGUGCCACUGCUGAAAGACUUUGAUUCAAACAAGCUCUAUUCUGAAGUUUGAUUUUGCUCCACCUAUAAAGAGAAAGGCUUUCUUGCCAAUUUAAGGCACUAACAUGAUAAAUGAAAAUAUUACUUUGAGUAACAAAAAUUAUAGUACUGGAAAAACUUUCUUGCAUGUCAAUAUUGAGUGUAACAAUGACAAUGCUUUUGUCUUUUCCUUAAAGCCAAUGUGUCAGGAUUUUUAAUUGGAGAUCUUUUAUUACUAGUUUUUCAAAGUAUUAACACUGUAUAUCCAUUCAAAUUUUCCAUACUUUAUAAACACUUUUACUUAUUAAGACUGAAUUUCUAUAAAUAAAUCCUAGGGAUGUAAUACACAGCAUAGAACAUGGUGACUAGAGUUAACAAGACUGUGUUAUAUAUUUGAAAGUUACUAAGAGUGUAGAUCAUAAAAGUUCUCAUCACAAGAAAAAAAAUUUGUAACUAUUUGAGGUGAUGGAUGUAGACUAAACUUACUGUGGUAAUCAUUUUGCAAUAUAUACAUAUAUCAAAUCAUUAUGUUGAAUACCUAAAUCUAAUACAAUGUUAUAUGUCAGUUAUAUCUCAAUAAAUAGACUGGGUUAUAUUAUAGCACUGAGCAAAUUGUUUGAAAUUAUUGAGUUUUUCCCUUAUUGAAAUAUAUUUUAUAUAUAUAUAUAAUUAUCCUAAAAUAAACUAAUGAAUUCCUUUUCUAUUUUUAUCAAAUUUCUCUUUAAUGAGAAUUCAACAAAAAAAAAUAGAUGACAUCAUUUUUAUGUUUCUUUAUCUACUUUAUCUACCUAACUAAUCAUCUAGGGUUUAAAAAAAAAAAAAUAGCAAAACACUACUUGGUCUCUUUGUCCAAAGAGACAGGAGUUAAUUUUUGGCUCGUGUUUAACUCUACAUUUCUGUUCCCAAGCAUUCAACAUUUAUUACCUGGGAGACUUCUUUGUCAACAGAGCACAUAUUAAACCAGUUACUGGAAGUAUGUUUAGCUUAUAUAUGUUAAUUUACAUUUGACAAACUUGCCUCUCUGGUGCCGCUGGGACACUAGCUAAACGUGUAGCUUGAUUGUAUUUAUCCAAACUCCAUAAACAGAAAAUCCAAACCCCCACACAGGGCAUAAAAACAUGAAUUAUAUGAUCCAGUAAGAGUUCCUGAGGGAAAUGGCAGCUCCCAAGAAAAAAAUUAUUCCAGAGUAAGUCUCAAUCUUUGAUGAGUCAUGUAUUUUUCACCUGGUAUUUCUCCAGGGGGGGGUGAAGAAGCACCCUUUGAAUGAACAUAGUAAGGAAAAAUAGAGGUAAAUAUAAUAGUCUUUCCUUCUAUUCUUGAGUAUUUUAAAUUACAUUUGAUGGCUGAAACAAAAAUUAUAAUCCUGUCUGAUAUGGUUCUAUUCAAGACAGUUUUAUUAUUUUUAUUUAUCUUUAUUAUAAAUAGAGAAAAGAAUAGAGAAAUAUAUAAAGGGAGGUAAGAUUUUAUACCUCAUGCAAAACCGGCAAAAUGAUGACACAAGCAGACUGGGAUAAGAUGUGUGUGUGUGUGUGUAUAUAUGUGUGUGUGACAUGAUACCUAAAGCAGCUACUAAAAACACUCUGAAGAGAGAAACAGUCAAAAACACUAUAGGGAAAUCAAAAUGAAAUUCUACAAAAUGUUCAAAUAAACCACAGGAAGACAAGAAAAAGAAAACAGAAUUUUUUUUUUAUUUUAAACAUACAGGACAAACAAAAAGCAAAAAAUAAAAUGGCAGAUGUAAACCUUAUCAUAACAAUAAUUACAUUAAAUGCAAACAGUAUGAUUGAAUGUAAAAAGAUGGAAAAAGAUAUAUCAUGCAAGCAUUAAUCAAAAGAAAGAUGCAGUGGCUAUUUUGAUACCAGAUAAAGUCAACUUCAGAGCAAAGAAAAUUACCAAAGAGACAUUAUCCAAGGAGUUCCUGUCAUGGCUCAGCAGAAACGAAUUUGACUAGUAUCCAUGAGGAUUUGGGUUCAAUCCCUGGCCUCACUCAGUGGGUUAAGGAUCCAGCAUUGCCCUGAGCUGUGGUGUAGGUCGCAGACAUGGCUCGGAUCCUGCAUUGCUGUGGCUGUGGUGUAGGCCAGCAGCUGCAGCUCCUAUUCAACCCCUAGCCUUGGAACUUCCACAUGCUGUGGGGGGUGUGGCCCUAAAAAGCAAAAAAAAAAA
RNAcentral lists this long non-coding RNA (3017 nucleotides) under Sus scrofa (pig). RNAcentral's name for it is "lncRNA (ENSSSCG00040038460.1)". Lineage: Eukaryota; Metazoa; Chordata; Mammalia; Artiodactyla; Suidae. The record is from RNAcentral.